AGUGAACGCUGGCGGUAGGCCUAACACAUGCAAGUCGAACGGCAGCACAGUAAGAGCUUGCUCUUACGGGUGGCGAGUGGCGGACGGGUGAGGAAUACAUCGGAAUCUACUUUUUCGUGGGGGAUAACGUAGGGAAACUUACGCUAAUACCGCAUACGACCUACGGGUGAAAGCAGGGGAUCUUCGGACCUUGCGCGAUUGAAUGAGCCGAUGUCGGAUUAGCUAGUUGGCGGGGUAAAGGCCCACCAAGGCGACGAUCCGUAGCUGGUCUGAGAGGAUGGUCAGCCACACUGGAACUGAGACACGGUCCAGACUCCUACGGGAGGCAGCAGUGGGGAAUAUUGGACAAUGGGCGCAAGCCUGAUCCAGCCAUACCGCGUGGGUGAAGAAGGCGUUCGGGUUGUAAAGCCCUUUUGUUGGGAAAGAAAAGCAGUAGGUUAAUACCCCGCUGUUCUGACGGUACCCAAAGAAUAAGCACCGGCUAACUUCGUG
RNAcentral lists this ribosomal RNA (492 nucleotides) under uncultured bacterium. Its description in RNAcentral is "partial 16S ribosomal RNA". It matches the Rfam family "Bacterial small subunit ribosomal RNA", at positions 29 to 507 of the family's 1533-position model. The record is from RNAcentral.